AUGUAUUUAACCAUCUUGACAAAGUAAGAUCACAAUUCCUUUUUGCAUUCAUUUACACACAUGAAGUUAGUCACUUAGGCUGUUUAUAACAUUAUCUACCCUGGAGCAACCUUUCGACUGGACCUGCACAGAAUAAAUACUACCUAUUGACAUUAACGUGGAAAAAUUAAGAUGGAUCAUUAUGAACAAUCUGGUUAGAUCUUGUAGCAUGGAUGCUGAAUAUUGUAGUAUAUUAUUGUGAAACUUUACAAGCCUGGCUAGCUAGCCAAUAUUGUUCGUAUUGAAUUUGGGCCAGACAUUUUACAGCUAACGCCAAUGACAUUUUGCAACUUAAAUGUAAUGAUGCCCCAAUCUGAAUAUAGAUUUUGUUAGUUGAU
Molecule: unclassified non-coding RNA, 377 nt
Filed under: Hevea brasiliensis (rubber tree)
Lineage: Eukaryota; Viridiplantae; Streptophyta; Magnoliopsida; Malpighiales; Euphorbiaceae
Source: RNAcentral